UGGGGAAUAUUGCACAAUGGGGGAAACCCUGAUGCAGUGACGCCGCGUGCAGGAAGAAGGUUUUCGGAUUGUAAACUGCUUUAGACAGGGAAGAAAAAAGACAGUACCUGUAGAAUAAGCUCCGGCUAACUACGUGCCAGCAGCCGCGGUAAUACGUAGGGAGCAAGCGUUAUCCGGAUUUAUUGGGUGUAAAGGGUGCGUAGACGGGAAGACAAGUUAGUUGUGAAAUCCCUCGGCUUAACUGAGGAACUGCAACUAAAACUAUCAUUCUUGAGUGCUGGAGAGGAAAGUGGAAUUCCUAGUGUAGCGGUGAAAUGCGUAGAUAUUAGGAGGAACACCAGUGGCGAAGGCGACUUUCUGGACAGUAACUGACGUUGAGGCACGAAAGUGUGGGGAGCAAACAGGAUUAGAUACCC
Molecule: ribosomal RNA, 416 nt
Filed under: uncultured bacterium
Lineage: Bacteria
Description: bacterial SSU rRNA
Rfam family: Bacterial small subunit ribosomal RNA
Source: RNAcentral